This is a long non-coding RNA of Leucoraja erinaceus (little skate), 5463 nucleotides long. RefSeq lists it as uncharacterized. The record is from RefSeq and is a predicted model, not a curated record. Lineage: Eukaryota; Metazoa; Chordata; Chondrichthyes; Rajiformes; Rajidae. The transcript has 2 exons.
CCCCCACCCCCUCUUCCCCCACACCGAGAUUCUUCUGACACCACUGGUCACCGAGGGGUCCCCUGUGAACACUCCCGCUCCUCCUGUGAAAAGGAAACAGGGCUGUGCCUAGCUUCUGCCUACCACAGGUAAAUGGAGGAGAGCAUGGGAUGGAGGGAAGAUCCCUUGACCCCCCCCCCCCCCCCCCCCCCCCUUCCCACCUCUUUCCCAACGCUAGUCUUUCAAUGCAAGGUCUUGUUCAUCUAAAUACAUAACCUUUUCCCAACAGAGAUUAAUCAUCCAAUUGCUUCCCAAUGAAUAAAUCCAACUCGGACAGGAAAGAAUGGCACUGGAUCAUGAUUUGGGUGCUGUUGGUGGUCUCCAUGUGAUCUAGUAUUAAUCAUUAGGGUUGCCUGAUAAAGGCGAGAUUAAAAUGAACCCUUCAGAACUCGUGGCCAUUCUUUUCUUAGCCUUUGAUUGACCAAGUUUAAGGUCAGUCUCUGCAUACAUCCAUAACUCGCCAACUCCCACUUUUCCUGCUGUGUCCCUAAUUUUUCAAAUGCCAGGAACGUUGACGCAUAUCUCCGCGAAGCUUCCCUGUUUCGGCACCAGUUCCAAGCCCUGUCCAAGGCCACACUGCCAGUAACAAAACAAAAGAACGAAGUGCUGAAGUAACUCAGCGGGUCAGGCAGCAUCUCUGGAGAACAAGGAACAGGCGACGUGUCGGGUUGGGACCCAUCUUCAGUCUUAUCCAGAGAUGUUGUCUGACCUGCUGAGUGGCUCUAGCACUUUGUAUCUUUUUUUUUGUGAACUGGCAUCUGCAGUUCCUUGUUUCUCCACUGUCAGUAACAGCUGUCCAGGUGAACAAGCCUAGACCCAGUGAUAUUAGAAGUAGCAAGCCCAGUCUUCUAGGUACCAUGCCACAAGAUACAGGUCUACCACUGAUUUUCCGGCACCCUUGGUUCCAGAUCUUAUCUGGAUAUUCCCUUUUGUCGGAUAGGUCAUGGCCACCGAGAGGGGUCCCAACGAUAUGGGAACGGUCGGCCUAGGCUGUGAUGCCGGCCCGCAAAGUAGGCCUCGGAAAAGAAUGGGAGUGAAACUGCUGGCUCCGGCCAGGCAGGAGUUCCUGAGCUCCGGCUGCAGAGGGCAAAUUUGUGUUCUCAUGGUGGGUAUUUCCAGAGGAAUGUUGUCAUUACCUCCAUUCCUGACACUGCGAAUGCUUAUCAUUAUACUGUCCAAGCAGACACCAACCCUGAAUCCUCACAACUGUUCUCCAGCUAAUGGCUUUGACAGAUGGAAGUUAUUGUAACGUUUCCUUCUGUUCCAUUGUAGCUCGAUGGGAAUAGUUGAAAUGAGAUAAAACAGCCUUCAUAAAUUUCUCCCCUGUUUUUCCCCGAAAUACCACUGCCAAGAGUUCCCAUAGAUAUUUGAGAGAAAUCGUGACAAAUUGCAGGCGCGUAUGUGGCUUUUAUAAACACUUUCACCCUGUGGAAACGAGAUUCCAUUCACCCCUACAGUUCAGGAGAUAAAGCCAAGAAAUAUUCGGCCAAAUAAAUCUGUUGAGGAAGUUGAGGUUCGAUGUUGAAUUUUAAAGUCUCUGCUUCAUGAACAUUUGUGCAGUGAUUGGGAAAAAUCCUGAGGAAAUUGAGCGCAUCCAUCGUUCAAAUUAAGUUAUGAUUUAUAACUAAUCCAAUGAAUUGUGUGUUUGAUUCAAAAUAAUCCCAAAUGAAGCAUCAAUUUAGAAAGGCCAAAUAUUGCAAGCAUGUUUGAUAAAAUCAAAAGGUAAACACAGCAGGUAGCUGGUCUAAGGUAGACACAAAAUGCUGGAGUAACUCAGUGGGUGAGGCAGCAUCUCUGGAGCGAAGGAAUGGGCAACUUUUCGGUUCAACCAUUCCUUCACUCCAGUGAUGCUGCCUCACCCGCUGAGUUACUCCAGCAUUUUGUGUCAACCUUCAAUUUAAGCCAGCAUUUGCAGUUCUUUCUUAUAUAGGUAGCGGGGUCUAUAUCAACAUGAUUUGUACAUCGCUUGGGAAAUGAUCAGUGGGUCACUUUUGUGCUGUGCUUUCGUUGGGAACUUAACUUUUAUUUUGCUGGAAGCUUUGAGCAGUCGAACCUCCACUGAUCAUGGUUCAGUUUGUUGUGUCCUAAACCAGUUGCGUUCUUAAUAUGAGGGAAUGCACCAAACGGCAGUGGGACUUUAUUUGUUUUUUUUUAAUCUGCUUGGAUAAAAAAAAAGUAUGCUUGCCUAUUUUGCGUUUAUUAACAUGGCAAUGGGGAUGGUGAACACGGAGUGCGUAUUUACCGUGCCUUUGUAGAUUUUCAGGUGCGUUGGUGCACCUGUGGGCAUCUUUAUUAGGUUGGGUUCUGGAGUGAGCACUCUUUGUUUGUAGGUAUGUGGCAUGCAUCACAACUUGGGCUAGCACUGGCCACCCUCUAUGUGUGUGUGUGUCCACUUUAGAUGGCAUAGGGAAAUGGGUUAUGUCAUGUUAUGGUUGGGUUAGGAGCUAGAGAAGUAACAUGAAGGCUGUACACAGUGGAGAAUCAUGUUGGACAUGCAUGGCAUAGGAGCUAUGGGUUUUAUUCAAAAGUCCUGGAGAUUUUAAGGAGUUUAUAAGUUCUCUUUGUAAUGGAGGUGGUGAGAGUUGGAGUUGUGCCAUCUCUGUUUUAUCUGCCUCCACCCACCCCUUCCAUGGCCAAUAUUGGCUGAAGCAUCAAGAUAACCCUAUCUUCACUCUUCAAUCAAUAACACACACACAUAGACACAAAGUGCUGGAUGACACCAGCAUUUUGUGUCUGUCUGAAGGUGUAAACCAGCAUCUGCGGUUCCUUCCUACACACUGAGCCUGACCACACUUCCACUGUUGAAUGUGGAAACUUGCGUGCACAAAAUGGUACCCUCGCUGUCCCACUGAGGGCAUUUCAAACCGCACUGCGUUGACGGCAAGGCGUCUUCAUGAAUGCUGCUGAGGUUUGGGAGAGCUGUGUAAAUGUUCUUUCCGAUCUUCUGGACAUUUGUUUUGUUUGACCCGCUGCCUCAGGCUGGAUGAGCAGCUGGAAGUUGCAGUUACUCUCCUGCCUUCUAGUCACUAAAGUAUCGGUGGUGGAUCUUAUCCGCUGAUGAACGUGACCCCCCCAUCUGAGUCUGUGUUGGGAUUGCUUGUUCACUGGUUGGCUCACAUUAAUUAAGCCAUCUGUUUUCACCUUCCCCCUCUCCACCCCAGCCUCCAGUUGUGGGGAAAGGCUGCACCCAUUUUGUUGUGUGAAUAUCAAAUAUCUUCUGUUCACCAGCUGUGUGUAUGGAUUAACAAAAAGAUCGGAAUUAUCAACUCGGAAUAGAAGCUCCCUCCAAAAUCCUCAUAUUGUGCCAGCAUCAUAAUGUAGAAACGAGGAACUGCUGUUGCUGGUUGGUACACAAAGUGCUGGAGUAACUCAGCGGGUCAGGCAGCAUCUCUGGAGAACGGGGAUGGGCAGUGUUUGAGGUCGAGACCCGUCUUCAGAUUGAACACGCUUUGGAGUCGAGACCUUUGUUCAGAUUGGAGAAGGGUCUCGACCCAAAACGUCACCUGUCCUUGUCCUCCAGAGAUGCGGCCUCACCCGCUGAGUUACCCUGGCACUUUGUGUCCUUUCGUGCAAGCACCACUACUGGUUGAAGAGAGGCUGCCCACUGUUUUCCUGCACUUCCUAUUUUGACUUGUAUGUUUCCCAUCUCUCCUUGGGAUGUUUUUUUGUACAAAGUAAAUCUCGGCCAAACAUUAUUCCGGACUGGGUGGAUCAAUGGGGCGGCAAGGACAAAAUAGUCCAGGCAUAAAAAUGUCCAUCUGCACAACUUGUGUGACCCAGUCAUGGGAGUGUGAUUACUUAUUUCAUUUGUGAGAAUUAUUUUUUUUUUUUGGUUGUAGAACUUUAUAAUUGCUAUUGCAACCACUUUUUUUUGUAAAAGGAUGGUUUUGUAUUCUUCAUGUUGUGUGAACUACUGAAAAUGGGGCUUUAAAUUGUGGGCUGAUGUUAUUUUGCUUUUGCUUCACUGUGGCGUAUGCUGAUUGAAUGUAAAUAACUAAUUAAACUACCAUAUCUGGCACCGCCUGCACGUUCAACGAGUUAGAUAUUGGUCGCAAAGUACAAGUUGAAGAGUUGACAGGCUGGAGGUAUCGGUCUGAAGGGUCCCAACCUGAAACAUCAUCACCUAUCCACAUUCUCCAGGGGAUGCUGCCUGAGAUACUCCAGGAUUUUGUGCCUCUCCAGACUAAUUGCUGGCUUAAGUGUCGAAUCCCUGGCUGGAACUGAGCUAGUGUGUGACGGGGCGGGAUGAAUCGGCCACGUUUCCCCAUUAUCUUGUGGUGCCAAAUGUUCUUUCUAAAGCUAAAAUCCCUGAUCUUCCACCAGUUGCAUAUAUGAGAUCUUUAGAGUGUAGCAUAGGACACACAGUGCAAUGGCCAGAGUUGACCUCCACUACUAUAGCUUGAGCUAAUGCUGAAUAUUUGCACUUUGAUCAGUCUGGUCAGCACUAUGGUGCACGUGCCUUAUAUAUCUGGCUCGUUAUUGAGCAAUGCCAAAAAGCAAGUGGUGAAAGACUGCUUCCUUCUGGUUUUGUGAGUGCUCCUCUCCUUUAGGUUUGCAGUCUGAAGCUUCUGCUCCUUUCUUAGACCCAAGCUUUCACCUCUGAAGCCUUUCCAGAAACCCACUUGCUGUCGGCUUGGGCGGCAUAGCAGUGGAGUUGCUGUUCCACCGCGCCAGAGACCCGUGUUAGAUCCUGACAACGGGCGUCGACCUUACAAAGUCUACGUUUUCCCCGUCACCCGCGUGAGUUUUCUCCGAUGGUUCCGGUUUCCUCCAACACUCCAAAGACGUACAGGUCUGUACGUUAAUUGGCUUUGGUAAAGAUUGUAAAUUGUCCCCAGUGUGUAUAGGAUAGUGCUAAUGUACAGGAUCGCUAGUCGGCAUGGAUUCGAGUGCGCUGUAUCCCUAAACUAUUCAGGCCAACUUCCUAUGAUAGAAAAGUACAAGUGCAUGGCUACAGUUCAACUCAACUCUGCACAAUGACAGUACGCGGGGUUGGUGCUUUAAGGAUAGGGGAAAAUAAAACUAUACAGGUACUUUUAAUUCACUGUAUUGCAUUUUACUUUCACUUCACGUUAUGAUUGAGCAAUGCAUUUUAAUGCCCUUGGUUAGUUGCUGAGUUAAUGUGGACAAAGGGUGUUGGUUGUUAGUUUAAAAAAAAAUCUAUAUCAAAAUCACAUGGGCUGUAUUCAAACGAAACAUUUCUUCCACAUUAAUGUUUGAACCAAAGAUUAAAAUUUUGAAAAUGUUUGAUAAGCUGGCAUGGAUCUUUUUACAACAGCAUUGUGUACUGAUGCCUGUUCAUUGUGAAGUUGUAUUUGAGUUUGCGUGGCAAUAUAUAUUAUUCUAUCAAAAGCACACAAAACAAUUGGCCACUGAUCAACGAGUCAAAACUGCUGCACUAAUAAACACAUUUUUUUGAAAGUG